Molecule: ribosomal RNA, 796 nt
Filed under: uncultured archaeon
Lineage: Archaea
Description: bacterial SSU rRNA
Rfam family: Archaeal small subunit ribosomal RNA
Source: RNAcentral
ACUGCUCAGUAACACGUGGAUAACCUGCCCUUGGGUCUGGGAUAACCCCGGGAAACUGGGGAUAAUACCGGAUGACGCAUAUGUGCUGGAAUGCUUUAUGCGUAAAACGGAUUCGUCCGCCCAAGGAUGGGUCUGCGGCCUAUCAGGUAGUAGUGGGUGUAAUGUACCUACUAGCCAACAACGGGUACGGGUUGUGAGAGCAAGAGCCCGGAGAUGGAUUCUGAGACAUGAAUCCAGGCCCUACGGGGCGCAGCAGGCGCGAAAACUUUACAGUGCGGGAAACCGUGAUAAGGGAACACCGAGUGCCAGCAUCAUAUGCUGGCUGUCCAGAUGUGUAAAGUACAUCUGUUAGCAAGGGCCGGGCAAGACCGGUGCCAGCCGCCGCGGUAACACCGGCGGCCCGAGUGGUGACCGUUAUUAUUGGGUCUAAAGGGUCCGUAGCCGGUUUGGUCAGUCCUCCGGGAAAUCUGAUAGCUUAACUGUUAGGCUUUCGGGGGAUACUGCCAGGCUUGGAACCGGGAGAGGUAAGAGGUACUACAGGGGUAGGAGUGAAAUCUUGUAAUCCCUGUGAGACCACCUGUGGCGAAGGCGUCUCACCAGAACGGACCUGACGGCAAGGGACGAAAGCUAGGGGCACGAACCGGAUUAGAUACCCGGGUAGUCCUAGCCGUAAACGAUACUCGCUAGGUGUCGGCCACGGUGCGACCGUUGUCGGUGCCGUAGGGAAGCCGUGAAGCGAGCCACCUGGGAAGUACGGCCGCAAGGCUGAAACUUAAAGGAAUUGGCGGGGGAGCAC